Long non-coding RNA from Mytilus californianus (California mussel), 1379 nucleotides. RefSeq lists it as uncharacterized. The transcript is spliced from 3 exons. The record is from RefSeq and is a predicted model, not a curated record. Lineage: Eukaryota; Metazoa; Mollusca; Bivalvia; Mytilida; Mytilidae.
CUGCCAUCUUAGAUGAUGGAUCGGCUACAAAGUAACAACACUUGGUCAGCAUCUCAUAAGGAAGAUUCAUGCCAUGUUUGGUUUCAUUCCAUUCAGUGGUUCUCUAAAAGAAGACAUUUGUAUGUAUUUCCCAUAGGUCCUUUGUUAAACUAAGUCCCCUGCUGUCGGCCAUCUUGGAUGAUGGACCGACUGCAAAGUAACAACACUUGGUCAGCAUCUCAUAAGGAACAUUCAUGCCAUGUUUGGUUUCAUUCAAUUUAGUGGUUCUCUAAAAGAAGACAUUUUUAUGUAUUUCCCAUAGGGUCCUAUGUUAAACUAAGUCCCCCGCUGUCGGCCAUCUUGGAUGAUGGAUCGGCUGCAAAGUAACAACACUUGGUCAACAUCUCAUAAGGAACAUUCAUGCCAUGUUUGGUUCCAUUCCAUUUAUUGGUUCUCUAAAAGAAGACAUUUUUAUGUAUUUCCCAAAGGGUCCAAUGUAAAACUAAGUCCCCCGCUGGCUGCCAUCUUGGAUGAUGGAUCGGCUACAAAGUAACAACACUUGGUCAGCAUCUCAUUAGGAAGAUUCAUGCCAUGUUUGGUUUCAUUCCAUUCAGUGGUUCUCUAAAAGAAGACAUUUGUAUGUAUUUCCCAUAGGUCCUUUGUUAAACUAAGUCCCCUGCUGUCGGCCAUCUUGGAUGAUGGACCGACUGCAAAGUAACAACACUUGGUCAGCACCUCAUAAGGAACAUUCAUGCCAUGUUUGGUUUCAUUCCAUUCAGUGGUUCUCUAAAAGAAGACAUUUUUAUGUAUUUCCCAAAGGGUCCUAUGUAAAACUAAGUCCCCCGCUGGAUGCCAUCUUGGAUGAUGGAUCGGCUACAAAGUAACAACACUUGGUCAGCAUCUCAUAAGGAAGAUUCAUGCCAUGUUUGGUUUCAUUCCAUUCAGUGGUUCUCUAAAAGAAGACAUUUGUAUGUAUUUCCCAUAGGUCCUUUGUUAAACUAAGUCCCCUGCUGUCGGCCAUCUUGGAUGAUGGACCGACUGCAAAGUAACAACACUUGGUCAGCAUCUCAUAAGGAACAUUCAUGCCAUGUUUGGUUUCAUUCAAUUCAGUGGUUCUCUAAAAGAAGACAUUUUUAUGUAUUUCCCAUAGGGUCCUAUGUUAAACUAAGUCCCCCGCUGUCGGCCAUCUUGGAUGAUGGAUCGGCUGCAAAGUAACAACACUUGGUCAACAUCUCAUAAGGAACAUUCAUGCCAUGUUUGGUUCCAUUCCAUUUAUUGGUUCUCUAAAAGAAGACAUUUUUAUGUAUUUCCCAAAGGGUCCAAUGUAAAACUAAGUCCCCCGCUGGCUGCCAUCUUGGAUGAUGGAUCGGCUACAAAGUAACAACACUUGGUCAGCACCU